Molecule: ribosomal RNA, 2936 nt
Filed under: Escherichia coli
Lineage: Bacteria; Pseudomonadati; Pseudomonadota; Gammaproteobacteria; Enterobacterales; Enterobacteriaceae
Description: bacterial LSU rRNA
Rfam family: Bacterial large subunit ribosomal RNA
Source: RNAcentral
UUAAGCGACUAAGCGUACACGGUGGAUGCCCUGGCAGUCAGAGGCGAUGAAGGACGUGCUAAUCUGCGAUAAGCGUCGGUAAGGUGAUAUGAACCGUUAUAACCGGCGAUUUCCGAAUGGGGAAACCCAGUGUGUUUCGACACACUAUCAUUAACUGAAUCCAUAGGUUAAUGAGGCGAACCGGGGGAACUGAAACAUCUAAGUACCCCGAGGAAAAGAAAUCAACCGAGAUUCCCCCAGUAGCGGCGAGCGAACGGGGAGCAGCCCAGAGCCUGAAUCAGUGUGUGUGUUAGUGGAAGCGUCUGGAAAGGCGCGCGAUACAGGGUGACAGCCCCGUACACAAAAAUGCACAUANNNNNNNNNNUGUGAGCUCGAUGAGUAGGGCGGGACACGUGGUAUCCUGUCUGAAUAUGGGGGGACCAUCCUCCAAGGCUAAAUACUCCUGACUGACCGAUAGUGAACCAGUACCGUGAGGGAAAGGCGAAAAGAACCCCGGCGAGGGGAGUGAAAAAGAACCUGAAACCGUGUACGUACAAGCAGUGGGAGCACGCUUAGGCGUGUGACUGCGUACCUUUUGUAUAAUGGGUCAGCGACUUAUAUUCUGUAGCAAGGUUAACCGAAUAGGGGAGCCGAAGGGAAACCGAGUCUUAACUGGGCGUUAAGUUGCAGGGUAUAGACCCGAAACCCGGUGAUCUAGCCAUGGGCAGGUUGAAGGUUGGGUAACACUAACUGGAGGACCGAACCGACUAAUGUUGAAAAAUUAGCGGAUGACUUGUGGCUGGGGGUGAAAGGCCAAUCAAACCGGGAGAUAGCUGGUUCUCCCCGAAAGCUAUUUAGGUAGCGCCUCGUGAAUUCAUCUCCGGGGGUAGAGCACUGUUUCGGCAAGGGGGUCAUCCCGACUUACCAACCCGAUGCAAACUGCGAAUACCGGAGAAUGUUAUCACGGGAGACACACGGCGGGUGCUAACGUCCGUCGUGAAGAGGGAAACAACCCAGACCGCCAGCUAAGGUCCCAAAGUCAUGGUUAAGUGGGAAACGAUGUGGGAAGGCCCAGACAGCCAGGAUGUUGGCUUAGAAGCAGCCAUCAUUUAAAGAAAGCGUAAUAGCUCACUGGUCGAGUCGGCCUGCGCGGAAGAUGUAACGGGGCUAAACCAUGCACCGAAGCUGCGGCAGCGACGCUGAUGCGUUGUUGGGUAGGGGAGCGUUCUGUAAGCCUGUGAAGGUGUGCUGUGAGGCAUGCUGGAGGUAUCAGAAGUGCGAAUGCUGACAUAAGUAACGAUAAAGCGGGUGAAAAGCCCGCUCGCCGGAAGACCAAGGGUUCCUGUCCAACGUUAAUCGGGGCAGGGUGAGUCGACCCCUAAGGCGAGGCCGAAAGGCGUAGUCGAUGGGAAACAGGUUAAUAUUCCUGUACUUGGUGUUACUGCGAAGGGGGGACGGAGAAGGCUAUGUUGGCCGGGCGACGGUUGUCCCGGUUUAAGCGUGUAGGCUGGUUUUCCAGGCAAAUCCGGAAAAUCAAGGCUGAGGCGUGAUGACGAGGCACUACGGUGCUGAAGCAACAAAUGCCCUGCUUCCAGGAAAAGCCUCUAAGCAUCAGGUAACAUCAAAUCGUACCCCAAACCGACACAGGUGGUCAGGUAGAGAAUACCAAGGCGCUUGAGAGAACUCGGGUGAAGGAACUAGGCAAAAUGGUGCCGUAACUUCGGGAGAAGGCACGCUGAUAUGUAGGUGAAGCGACUUGCUCGUGGAGCUGAAAUCAGUCGAAGAUACCAGCUGGNNNNNNNNNNNNNNNNNNNNNNNNNNUGCAACUGUUUAUUAAAAACACAGCACUGUGCAAACACGAAAGUGGACGUAUACGGUGUGACGCCUGCCCGGUGCCGGAAGGUUAAUUGAUGGGGUCAGCGCAAGCGAAGCUCUUGAUCGAAGCCCCGGUAAACGGCGGCCGUAACUAUAACGGUCCUAAGGUAGCGAAAUUCCUUGUCGGGUAAGUUCCGACCUGCACGAAUGGCGUAAUGAUGGCCAGGCUGUCUCCACCCGAGACUCAGUGAAAUUGAACUCGCUGUGAAGAUGCAGUGUACCCGCGGCAAGACGGAAAGACCCCGUGAACCUUUACUAUAGCUUGACACUGAACAUUGAGCCUUGAUGUGUAGGAUAGGUGGGAGGCUUAGAAGUGUGGACGCCAGUCUGCAUGGAGCCGACCUUGAAAUACCACCCUUUAAUGUUUGAUGUUCUAACGUUGACCCGUAAUCCGGGUUGCGGACAGUGUCUGGUGGGUAGUUUGACUGGGGCGGUCUCCUCCUAAAGAGUAACGGAGGAGCACGAAGGUUGGCUAAUCCUGGUCGGACAUCAGGAGGUUAGUGCAAUGGCAUAAGCCAGCUUGACUGCGAGCGUGACGGCGCGAGCAGGUGCGAAAGCAGGUCAUAGUGAUCCGGUGGUUCUGAAUGGAAGGGCCAUCGCUCAACGGAUAAAAGGUACUCCGGGGAUAACAGGCUGAUACCGCCCAAGAGUUCAUAUCGACGGCGGUGUUUGGCACCUCGAUGUCGGCUCAUCACAUCCUGGGGCUGAAGUAGGUCCCAAGGGUAUGGCUGUUCGCCAUUUAAAGUGGUACGCGAGCUGGGUUUAGAACGUCGUGAGACAGUUCGGUCCCUAUCUGCCGUGGGCGCUGGAGAACUGAGGGGGGCUGCUCCUAGUACGAGAGGACCGGAGUGGACGCAUCACUGGUGUUCGGGUUGUCAUGCCAAUGGCACUGCCCGGUAGCUAAAUGCGGAAGAGAUAAGUGCUGAAAGCAUCUAAGCACGAAACUUGCCCCGAGAUGAGUUCUCCCUGACCCUUUAAGGGUCCUGAAGGAACGUUGAAGACGACGACGUUGAUAGGCCGGGUGUGUAAGCGCAGCGAUGCGUUGAGCUAACCGGUACUAAUGAACCGUGAGGCUUAACCUU